Molecule: ribosomal RNA, 888 nt
Filed under: Campylobacter concisus
Lineage: Bacteria; Pseudomonadati; Campylobacterota; Epsilonproteobacteria; Campylobacterales; Campylobacteraceae
Description: bacterial SSU rRNA
Rfam family: Bacterial small subunit ribosomal RNA
Source: RNAcentral
AAAGUUUUUCGGUGUAGGAUGAGGCUAUAUUGUAUCAGCUAGUUGGUGAGGUAAUGGCUCACCAAGGCUAUGACGCAUAACUGGUCUGAGAGGAUGAUCAGUCACACUGGAACUGAGACACGGUCCAGACUCCUACGGGAGGCAGCAGUAGGGAAUAUUGCUCAAUGGGGGAAACCCUGAAGCACCAACGCCGCGUGGAGGAUGACACUUUUCGGAGCGUAAACUCCUUUUGUUAGGGAAGAACAAUGACGGUACCUAACGAAUAAGCACCGGCUAACUCCGUGCCAGCAGCCGCGGUAAUACGGAGGGUGCAAGCGUUACUCGGAAUCACUGGGCGUAAAGGACGCGUAGGCGGAUUAUCAAGUCUCUUGUGAAAUCCUAUGGCUUAACCAUAGAACUGCUUGGGAAACUGAUAAUCUAGAGUGAGGGAGAGGCAGAUGGAAUUGGUGGUGUAGGGGUAAAAUCCGUAGAGAUCACCAGGAAUACCCAUUGCGAAGGCGAUCUGCUGGAACUCAACUGACGCUAAUGCGUGAAAGCGUGGGGAGCAAACAGGAUUAGAUACCCUGGUAGUCCACGCCCUAAACGAUGUAUACUAGUUGUUGCUAAGCUAGUCUUGGCAGUAAUGCACCUAACGGAUUAAGUAUACCGCCUGGGGAGUACGGUCGCAAGAUUAAAACUCAAAGGAAUAGACGGGGACCCGCACAAGCGGUGGAGCAUGUGGUUUAAUUCGAAGAUACGCGAAGAACCUUACCCGGACUUGAUAUCUAACAAAUCAUCUAGAGAUAGAAGAGUGUCUGCUUGCAGAAAUGUUAAGACAGGUGCUGCACGGCUGUCGUCAGCUCGUGUCGUGAGAUGUUGGGUUAAGUCCCGCAACGAGCGCAACCCACG